RNAcentral lists this ribosomal RNA (373 nucleotides) under uncultured bacterium. Its description in RNAcentral is "bacterial SSU rRNA". It matches the Rfam family "Bacterial small subunit ribosomal RNA", at positions 525 to 896 of the family's 1533-position model. The record is from RNAcentral.
ACAGAGGGUGCAAGCGUUGCUCGGAUUUACUGGGCGUAAAGCGUGCGCAGACGGUUUGGUAAGUGGGACGUGAAAGCCUGGGGCUCAACCCCAGAAUUGCGUUCCAGACUGCCCGACUCGAGUAUGAGAGAGGAAAGUGGAAUUCCUGGUGUAGAGGUGAAAUUCGUAGAUAUCAGGAGGAACACCAGCGGCGAAGGCGGCUUUCUGGCUCAUUACUGACGUUCAGGCACGAAAGCGUGGGGAGCAAACAGGAUUAGAUACCCUGGUAGUCCACGCCGUAAACGAUGCAUACUAGCUGUUGGCGGUAUAAACUCCGUCGGUAGCGUAGCUAACGCGUUAAGUAUGCCGCCUGGGGAGUACGGCCGCAAGGUUG